AUGAUUGAGAGAACAUCCAGAAAUAGGUUGCCUUUCUACAGUGUAUUUUUCCUGGUCAUAAAGCUUUUAUGUGAUUCAGCUAGACCAGGGGUCACCAGACUCCGGCCCUCCAGGACCAUGUUUGGUGACCCCUGAGCUACACCAAGAUAUCAGAGGCCAGCCUUUAAAUCAGCAGCUACGCACAACUGUUGUACAGCCGGACUACUAAAGAUUUAUAAAGUGGUUGUCAGACUGCUUUCUCCAUAAGUCUGCAAUGCCCGUACACAGAAAACUGACUGUGUUCUUUAAUGUUUUGUUGGAAAAAGUAACGGAAGGUUGGUACGAAUGAGGCAACCUACUUUUUUCAACAAGUAGGUGAGAGAUAAAUAGGGUGGAAUGUAUUGUGUAAAGCGCACAGGGAAUGAGGGUCCGGUUUGUGUUGUGAAGCUUUUUGAAUUGUGCUAAUGCUUGAACUUGUGGAUGUUACAAAAAGAGGUCAACAUGACCGCUGCCAAAAGAGGGUUGUGAUCAUUCAGUUUCCAGUAUUUUAUGUCAUUUUUCUAAAGACAAGACCCACCUCUUCGCAGUAAACCAACAGUACAGCAGUGGUGAGUAUAAAGGCUGUUGUGUCUAAGAAAACUCAAAACAUUAUCCAUUUGAUCUGUACAAAUGGGAAAUGUAAAGAUAACCCUCUGCUGAAGUGUUACCAACAUGUAAUCUAAAAAGAAAGCAUUAUUUUUGUAUUUUGAAAGGGGUUUGAAAAAAAAAAAAAGUAAAAGUAAAAUUGUGUACUGAUCAGUGUUGAGAAAGCUGUGACACACAGGUUCUAAAACAGUUUCUCGAGUUCCCCGGCUUCCAACUUUACCCUUAACGUUUGUUUAAAGAUUACAGCAUGAUAUACAUUUUUGAUUUUUAGAGGGGUUUAAUUCAGUGCAAGUGGUUGGGAAUAUUAGAAGCCAAAUCAGUUCUACAGUGGAGGUAAUGUGUGGGUAAAGCUGUACAGUAAAACCAGGGGGACCCCAGAAUUACUUGUCUGACAACCAAUAAUUAAAGGUUAUUUAAGGGAAAAUAAUCUAUAGAGGACUAAACUUAUUGCUGGUGAUUUAGCUACUGUAAAUUAUAACUAAUUCAACUGUUGAUUCUAUUUAUGUUUUGUAACUAAUCAAAAAUAAACAUCAAAUGUUAAACAUCAAGGUGAUAUGGGUUAUUUUUUGUUACAUUCAAAAGCAUAUUUUGUCAUUUUUAAUAAAAAAUACAGCAAAAACUGUCAUACUGUAAAAUAUUCUUAAAAUAACCGUUUUCUAUUUAAUCCUGUGAUUGUAAAGCUGAAUUUUCAGCAGUCAUUACUCUAGUCUUCAGUGUUACAAGAUCCUUCAGAAAUCAGUCUAAUAUGCUAAUUUGCUGCUAAAGAUACAUUCAUCAAUAUCAAUGUUGCCAACAGUUGUGCUGCUUGAUAUUUAUUCAUUUAAUCAUUUUUCAGGACUCUUUGAUGAAUUGAAAAUUAAAAAUAGCAUUUAUUUAUUUUGUCUUUGAGAAAUAUCUUUACUGUCACUUUUUAUUUUAUUUAAUACGUCUUUGCUAAAUAAAAGUAUUAAUUUCCUUAAAAAUCCUA
Long non-coding RNA from Cyprinus carpio carpio, 1591 nucleotides. Lineage: Eukaryota; Metazoa; Chordata; Actinopteri; Cypriniformes; Cyprinidae. The record is from Ensembl.